GAAAUAUGAGAUUCAAAGGCAAGCUUCUAACUUAGCCUUUAAGCGAUGAAACUUCGUUUAUAUUUCU
Molecule: transfer RNA, 67 nt
Filed under: Teispes insularis
Lineage: Eukaryota; Metazoa; Arthropoda; Insecta; Coleoptera; Cerambycidae
Description: tRNA-Ser
Source: RNAcentral